UCAAACUUGGUCAUUUAGAGGAAGUAAAAGUCGUAACAAGGUCUCCGUAGGUGAACCUGCGGAGGGAUCAUUACAAGAACGCCCGGGCUUCGGCCUGGUUAUUCAUAACCCUUUGUUGUCCGACUCUGUUGCCUCCGGGGCGACCCUGCCUUCGGGCGGGGGCUCCGGGUGGACACUUCAAACUCUUGCGUAACUUUGCAGUCUGAGUAAACUUAAUUAAUAAAUUAAAACUUUUAACAACGGAUCUCUUGGUUCUGGCAUCGAUGAAGAACGCAGC
This 277-nucleotide unclassified non-coding RNA is filed under the name uncultured fungus. RNAcentral describes it as "partial contains small subunit ribosomal RNA, internal transcribed spacer 1, and 5.8S ribosomal RNA". The stretch from base 1 to 73 matches the Rfam family "Eukaryotic small subunit ribosomal RNA", at positions 1759 to 1831 of the family's 1831-position model. Lineage: Eukaryota; Fungi. The record is from RNAcentral.